This 501-nucleotide ribosomal RNA is filed under the name uncultured bacterium. RNAcentral's name for it is "partial 16S ribosomal RNA". It matches the Rfam family "Bacterial small subunit ribosomal RNA", at positions 30 to 523 of the family's 1533-position model. The record is from RNAcentral.
AUUGAACGCUGGCGGCAGGCUUAACACAUGCAAGUCGAGCGGAGCGAGGGUGCUUGCACCUUAGCUUAGCGGCGGACGGGUGAGUAAUGCUUAGGAAUCUGCCUAUUAGUGGGGGACAACAUUCCGAAAGGAAUGCUAAUACCGCAUACGCCCUACGGGGAAAAGCAGGGGAUCUUCGGACAUUGCGCUAAUAGAUGAGCCUAAGUGGGAUUAGCUAGUUGGUGGGGUAAAGGCAUACCAAGGCGACGAUCUGUAGCGGGUCUGAGAGGAUGAUCCGCCACACUGGGACUGAGACACGGCCCAGACUCCUACGGGAGGCAGCAGUGGGGAAUAUUGGACAAUGGGCGGAAGCCUGAUCCAGCCAUGCCGCGUGUGUGAAGAAGGCCUUUUGGUUGUAAAGCACUUUAAGCGAGGAGGAGGCUACUUAGAUUAAUACUCUGGGAUAGUGGACGUUACUCGCAGAAUAAGCACCGGCUAACUCUGUGCCAGCAGCCGCCGUAA